GAGGUGCGUGUCGAAGGUUAAAUGUCUCCUGAGCGCUGAAGGUCCAGGAUGUGCCGUUCACCAAGAGCUCCGCUGCGUCACAUCCGUCUCAGAAGCUUUGCAAAUAGGUUGAUUAGCUAGCUAAUUAGCCAACUUUAGCUCAUGAGGUGCGUGUCGAAGGAUUAAAUGUCUCCUGAGCGCCGACGGUCCCGGAUGUGCCAUUCACCGAGAGCUCCGCUGCGGUCGUAUCCGUUUCAGAGGCUUCGCAAUUAUGUUGAUUAUAUUGCCAAAUCAGAUGCUGCGUCACUGACUGACUAACCAUCCAACGCUGAUCUCAAACGUAAUCAUUGUGUAAAGCUGGUUGCCAGCCGCAGUAUGAUCAAACGGAAACAAAAGUGAAACCUAAUAUAAGACUGAACUGUGUAUAUAACUCCUGGGGGGCUUUUAUUUUGAAAGAAAGAGAUACAGGAAGAGGUUAAUGCAGGAACUUCACCAAUCACGGACUUUCCUCGUCUUGUUUACAGUCGAAGCUCAGCAGCACGCACCGGAGUUCAGGUACACAAAGGGAGGAGAGACUGACCCUGAUGAUGACCAUAUUGAACUGGAUGACAGCAGCAGCGGCAGGAACCUCCCAGUUCAACCUGCUUUUGCUGUACCUAAAGGGUCCUAAGACAUUUUUCAAACAAGAGCUGCAGGUCCUGCACAACAGAUCCUGAAGACCUUCCCUCGCACUCAGCAUGAAUCCUGCUCCAGGCAGUGGCGGCAGCUGCGUGUUCAAGGAAAGAAAUUGGACUGUGUUGAGUUAGACCUUACACUGGCAGUUGGGGCAUUGUAUAGCAAUUUAACCCACGAGAUAUAAUUUUGACCAAAACCAAACCUAUUUAGAACUGAAAAUAAAUAAUUCCACUCCACUCUAUCAAAAGCCUUUUCUGCAUCCAUAGUAAUUACCAUUUCAGGGUCUUGUGAUUCUGGCUUGGACAGUAUUAUGUUGAGCAGAUGGAGUAUAUUGCAGAUGCAGUAGACCUACCAGGCAUACUGGCCUGCCUAUAACUUCAGUCCAGUUUCCAUAGAGCACCAAAAAAGUUAAAGGAGAUGUGUAAAGAGACGUCAUGUUUUCACUUACUGCUGAGAUCACGGUAGAAACACACCGAUUCAUCCGCGGUGUCAAAUAUGUGCGACUUUCCAUUAACAGUGACCUGUUACUGUGCCGGGUAGAUCAACCCCAAGGGUAUCCCAUCCUUAUAAAGGAGAGAUCCUUGCAGGAUAACCCUGGGAGGAGACGCUCUGUAUUUUCUUUGCCCAUAGCUGCACUCGCUCUUUCUGGAUGUAUCUGUGAAAGUGUACAACAAUGGGCUGGGAACCCUGUGCUGGCAUUGGCCCCAGACUGUGGUGAGAUCUGUCCAGUUCAAAGCUAGUAUCCAGUAAAGCGUCUCUGGUGCCUCCCUGACCAGCAUAAUCACAAAGAGUCAAGCAUCGGUCCCCUCUGCUUUAUCUGUUGCUACACUGCUAGCGUCUGCCUUGUUAGAGUCUUUAUCGUGCGGGCUGAAGUGUUGAGUCAGCUGAGGGUGGCUUUUGCUGCAUUUCCCGUGGGAUUUACUCAUUUCAGCUCCAAAAAUGUUACGCUGAAAAGGAAAUAAUUCAAAACGUGGGUGUAGAUAUGUUAAAGUUACAAAUGGUCAGGAAGGAAAUGCCAGGCUUUUGAUCACUCUGACGCCAUUAAUGGAAGUCAAAAAAAUCUCCAGCAAAUUUUUAAAGACCAUUUCAAUUGUUUAGCUAACUAUUUAUAUAUCUGUGCAGAGCAUUGCAUUAGCAUUUUUUUUUUACAAACUUUUCUAUCAUCUUAUUCUACAGAACAAUGUGGAUACAUUUUACCUCAGCCAAUGCAGAAGGAAAGGCUGUGAACAAUUCCAUGCAUGUUUGCUGAUGACAAAAGAAAAUGUUUAUAUUUAUGCUUGCAUAUGACACAGUUCGUAUGAAUUACCCACAUUUCCCAUUAAUUCCCAUUUAUUAUCAUGACAAGUUUCCAAUUUGCAAUAUUUCCAAAAUUCCCCAGUUUAACUUCCCAUGGAAAGUUUCCAGAAAUGUUUCCACCCCUUUGCAACCCUACUGCUUACUGUGCAUAACACAUGUUUACUAUAGAGUUGAAAAGUAUUGAUCCUAAUUAUUAAAAAUGUAAUAAUUCAAAUAAAUAUUGCAAUAUAUGAUUAUUACCAGUGCUGUAAAUUGUGUUGUUCCUUCACAUUACAUUGCACCCACUUAACCUGCCUUAGGCUACUGUUGGUGAGAUUACUUACUGCACCUUAGACCCAGAUGUUGAUGAGAAUUAUUAUUAUUAUUUGACUCUAAUUGUAUGGGUUUUGUGUAUUGCAGUAAUGCCUCAACUGUGUUAGUGUGUCUGAACAAAGUGACAUAUGAGGACCGGAUGAGUGACGUCACUGAAAGUGUGUUAAAAGUGUGUUAAGUUCCAAAACUGGCCACUAGUUGGCAGAGUCAAAGGUGAGCAAAAAAUGUUAAACACACUUACACACUUAAUUUCCGAAAAUUGUGAUGUUUCAGGACAUCAG
Acanthopagrus latus (yellowfin seabream) is the source of this 2543-nucleotide long non-coding RNA. RefSeq lists it as uncharacterized. The transcript has 4 exons. Lineage: Eukaryota; Metazoa; Chordata; Actinopteri; Spariformes; Sparidae. The record is from RefSeq and is a predicted model, not a curated record.